AAACCAACAGGGAUUGCCUCAGUAACGGCGAGUGAAGCGGCAAAAGCUCAAAUUUGAAACCCUCGGGAUUGUAAUUUGAAGAUUUGGCAUUGGAGAAAGCUAACCCAAGUUGCUUGGAAUAGUACGUCAUAGAGGGUGACAACCCCGUCUGGCUAACCGUUCUCCAUGUAUUGCCUUAUCAAAGAGUCGAGUUGUUUGGGAAUGCAGCUCAAAGUGGGUGGUAAACUCCAUCUAAAGCUAAAUACUGGUGAGAGACCGAUAGCGAACAAGUACUGUGAAGGAAAGGUGAAAAGAACUUUGAAAAGAGAGUGAAAUAGUAUGUGAAAUUGUUGAUAGGGAAGGAAAUGAGUGGAGAGUGGCCGAGGUUUCAGCCGCCCCUCGUGGGCGGUGUACUGCCGACGCCGAGUCAUCGAUAGCGAGACGAGGGUUACAAAUGGGAGCGCCUUUCGGGCGUUCUCCCCUAACCCUCCACACUGCCACCGACGACAAACCCCC
Molecule: ribosomal RNA, 495 nt
Filed under: Yarrowia lipolytica
Lineage: Eukaryota; Fungi; Ascomycota; Dipodascomycetes; Dipodascales
Description: LSU rRNA
Rfam family: Eukaryotic large subunit ribosomal RNA
Source: RNAcentral